Molecule: ribosomal RNA, 435 nt
Filed under: uncultured bacterium
Lineage: Bacteria
Description: partial 16S ribosomal RNA
Rfam family: Bacterial small subunit ribosomal RNA
Source: RNAcentral
AGCGAACGCUGGCGGCAGGCUUAACACAUGCAAGUCGAGCGGGCAUAGCAAUAUGUCAGUGGCAGACGGGUGAGUAACGCGUGGGAACGCACCUUUUGGUUCGGAACAACACAGGGAAACUUGUGCUAAUACCGGAUAAGCCCUUACGGGGAAAGAUUUAUCGCCGAAAGAUCGGCCCGCGUCUGAUUAGCUAGUUGGUAGGGUAAUGGCCUACCAAGGCGACGAUCAGUAGCUGGUCUGAGAGGAUGAUCAGCCACAUUGGGACUGAGACACGGCCCAAACUCCUACGGGAGGCAGCAGUGGGGAAUAUUGGGCAAUGGGCGAAAGCCUGAUCCAGCCAUGCCGCGUGAGUGAUGAAGGCCCUAGGGUUGUAAAGCUCUUUUGUGCGGGAAGAUAAUGACGGUACCGCAAGAAUAAGCCCCGGCUAACUUCGUG